Molecule: long non-coding RNA, 934 nt
Filed under: Homo sapiens (human)
Lineage: Eukaryota; Metazoa; Chordata; Mammalia; Primates; Hominidae
Description: non-protein coding lnc-THBS2-16:1
Source: RNAcentral
GUGGCUGGCCAAAGGGUGCUGUCCUGGGCUCACAGGCCCAACAGGGUGCUGGGGUGGAAUCUCCCGAAUGUGUUGAUGCAGAUUUCAAUUUGGAUGCCAUUAUAUUGCAGAUGUUUCCAUGUUUACCAAACGCACUGUUGUUUGUGAAUACUAUAGAUAAGUUUGUAAUUGCGUAUGUAGACAAAAACGAAUUCUUUGGGACAUUUCCAUCAUGCAACUUUAAAUGCAACAGAACUGUGACAUUGCCAUUAGAAAAAUGCAAACUGUGUGGAUCCAGUUUAAAGUCUUUCAGCAGCAGCUGUGUGCCCAGUGUUAAGUAAAACACGAAUUGCACGUUACCAUCUUCAUGGUCAUUAUUACAGCUUGGUGAGUUGGUGUUCUUGCCUCUAGUCUGCAAACAGGAGCAUCAUCCUAACAGAAACAGGACCUCAGCACUUUCCAUCCCACAAAUAUUAACACUUACACAAUAAAGAAACAAGUCCCCAGUUUCUUCAUAUAGCACUAAAUGUUCUUCACGAUCUGGCCUGAAAUCGCUUUCCUGGCUCCAUUUCUGACCAGUGCCUGGAUGAAUGCCGCACAUCUUAGACUACUCACUGUUUCCAAACAGCCCAUGAAGCGGCUGCCUCUCACCUCUGUCUACAUUGAGCUCCUUUUCCUAAAGACUCUGCCACCUUCUGCAGCUCAUCUGCUGAAAUCCCAGCCCGUUGUCCUCUGGCCUCACUCUUUUCCUGUGUUUUUAUGUGAUUUUGUUUAUGUAAUUGUCAAAAUAUCCAUUGCACUAAUUAAAAUGGCUUGUAUACUACAACUCUGAUAAAAUGUAAGCUUCAUUAAACUAGGGGCCACAUCUCAGCCAACUAUUUUUAAAUAUAUUAAUCUUAUUUAUUAAUCAUCUUCUAUGUGUCAGGCACUAUAGUGAAAGGUUCAGAGGUAAAAG